CAGCCGCCACGGGAAUACGAAGGGGGCUAGCGUUGUUCGGAAUUACUGGGCGUAAAGCGCACGUAGGCGGAUAUUUAAGUCAGGGGUGAAAUCCCGCAGCUCAACUGCGGAACUGCCUUUGAUACUGGGUAUCUUGAGUAUGGAAGAGGUUAGUGGAAUUGCGAGUGUAGAGGUGAAAUUCGUAGAUAUUCGCAGGAACACCAGUGGCGAAGGCGGCUAACUGGUCCAUAACUGACGCUGAGGUGCGAAAGCGUGGGGAGCAAACAGGAUUAGAUACCCCGGUAGUCCCUGUCUCUUAUAA
This 301-nucleotide ribosomal RNA is filed under the name uncultured bacterium. RNAcentral describes it as "partial 16S ribosomal RNA". It matches the Rfam family "Bacterial small subunit ribosomal RNA", at positions 509 to 809 of the family's 1533-position model. The record is from RNAcentral.